CAGUAGCCACGGGAAUACGUAGGGUGCGAUCGUUGUCCGGAAUUACUGGGCGUAAAGGGCUCGUAGGUGGUUUGUCGCGUCGUCUGUGAAAUUCUGGGGCUUAACUCCGGGCGUGCAGGCGAUACGGGCAUAACUUGAGUGCUGUAGGGGUAACUGGAAUUCCUGGUGUAGCGGUGAAAUGCGCAGAUAUCAGGAGGAACACCGAUGGCGAAGGCAGGUUACUGGGCAGUUACUGACGCUGAGGAGCGAAAGCAUGGGUAGCGAACAGGAUUAGAUACCCCUGUAGUCCCUGUCUCUUAUA
This 301-nucleotide ribosomal RNA is filed under the name uncultured bacterium. RNAcentral describes it as "partial 16S ribosomal RNA". It matches the Rfam family "Bacterial small subunit ribosomal RNA", at positions 509 to 808 of the family's 1533-position model. The record is from RNAcentral.